GAAUGAACGCUGGCGGUGUGGAUAAGGCAUGCAAGUCGAAUGCCGCACCUUUUAGCUUUUAUAUAGUAUACGUUCAUGAAAGUUAAAAGGUGCGGCAUGGCAAACGGGCUAGUAACACGUGGGAAUCUGCCUCAGAGUCGUGAAUAACCAUUUGAAAAGAUGGAUAAUACACGAUACGCUCUCCGGAGUAAAGAUUUAUCGCUUUGAGAGGAGCCCGCGUCCUAUCAGCUUGUUGGUGAGGUAAAAGCUCACCAAGGCGAUGACGGGUAGGGGGUGUGAGAGCAUGGCCCCCAGCAUUGGCACUGAGACACUGGCCAAACACCUACGGGUGGCUGCAGUCGAGAAUAUUCCACAAUGGGCGCAAGCCUGAUGGAGCGACACCGCGUGCGAGAUGAAGGCCUUAGGGUUGUAAAUCGCUAAAACUGGGAUCAAUGUACUGAGCGUACCAGUUGAAAAGAGGUUACUAACUCUGUGCCAGCAGUAGCGGUAAUACAGAGACCUCAAGCGUUAUCCGGAUUUAUUGGGCGUAAAGCGUAUGUAGGCGGGUGUGUUAGUCGUGGGUCAAAUUUCCGAGCUCAACUCGGGAGCUGCUCACGAAACGGCACAUCUAGAGAAAGUGAGAGAUGACUGGAACUCAUGGUGUAGUAGUGAAAUGCGUUGAUAUCAUGGGGAACACCAAAGGCGAAGGCAGGUCAUUGGCACUCUUCUGACGCUCAGAUACGAAAGCGUGGGUAGCGAAUGGGAUUAGAUACCCCAGUAGUCCACGCCGUAAACGAUGCUUACUCGGCAUAUGGAGUAUCGACCCUCUGUGUGUCUUAGCUAACGCGUUAAGUAAGCCGCCUGGGAAGUACGAGCGCAAGCUUAAAACUCAAAGGAAUAGACGGGGAUCCGCACAAGUGGUGGAGCAUGUGGUUUAAUUCGACACUAAGCGAGAAACCUCACCAGGGCUAGAAACUUGGCUGCAUACUUUGGAAACAAAGUAGCCUUCGAGGGUGCCAAGCAGGUGCUGCAUGGUCGUCGUCAGCUCGUGCCGUAAGGUGUUCCCUUAAGUGGGGAAACGAGCGCAACCCUUGUCGUGUGUUAUAUGUGUCACACGAGACCGCCCAGCCGUAAGUUUUGGAAACGAUUGUUUCAAAAAUUUACGGCUGGGAGGAAGGAGAGGAUGACGUCAGAUCAGCAUGGCCCUUGACGCCCUGGGCGACACACGUGCUACAAUGGCUAGGAUAGAGGGUUGCCAAACCGCGAGGUGGAGCUAAUCCCAAAAACCUAGUCUCAGUUCGGAUUGGAGGCUGCAACUCGCCUCCAUGAAGUCGGAAUCACUAGUAAUCGCGAAUCAGAAUGUCGCGGUGAAUACGUUCUCGGAUCU
Molecule: ribosomal RNA, 1366 nt
Filed under: uncultured bacterium
Lineage: Bacteria
Description: bacterial SSU rRNA
Rfam family: Bacterial small subunit ribosomal RNA
Source: RNAcentral